Molecule: long non-coding RNA, 378 nt
Organism: Culex quinquefasciatus (southern house mosquito)
Lineage: Eukaryota; Metazoa; Arthropoda; Insecta; Diptera; Culicidae
Exons: 3
Source: RefSeq, a predicted model, not a curated record
GCAAACGAUACUAUUAUUCAUUUCCGGGGAUUCAAUUGGUGUGCAGGGGUUUUACAUUUCCAGCAGUUAUGUUUAUUGUUGUUCGAGGUGAAAGCAUUUGAAAAGGUGUUUUCGGGGAAACGAAACUUUUCCGGUUUCAUCCAAGCCAGCUUCUGUAGAGGAAAUGGAAUUCACGAAGCUGGGAAGAUCUAGUGAAAAUAUCUACAAUGACGAACGAAAACCCGCAGAAUUUGAGUGGCUAUCAACGAACAACAACGGACCAUCCAAAACACUGGACUUCAAAUACAACUUCACCAUGCUUACCAAGAAAUCAGCAAGAAACGCAAGAAACGACGCGAUGACAAACACGCAGCAAGCGCAAGUGCUGCCAGAACAACA